This is a long non-coding RNA of Oxyura jamaicensis (ruddy duck), 1175 nucleotides long. RefSeq lists it as uncharacterized. The transcript is spliced from 3 exons. The record is from RefSeq and is a predicted model, not a curated record. NCBI's taxonomy places the organism in Eukaryota, Metazoa, Chordata, Aves, Anseriformes, Anatidae.
UCUUUGCAAAUAAUGCAGCUAAGCCUCGUGUUCUUAGAUGGCACGGAUAAAUGUAACAGAUCAGGCAGCCAUUCAGACCGCAACGUACGUUAAUACCCCAGCGUCUGCAAAAAGUUGUCCGGUUAUUUCUCGCAUCAAGGCCAGCAGACAAACGGCUCGCAGGAGCAGAUAACGCAACUGGAUCUGCAGCAGAAGAAUUUUUGGAUGCCUGAUUGCAGCUGACAGGAACUUCCUGCAGAAGGAACCUUACAUCAUGCCACAAAAACAUAAUGCAUAUGGAAAGCACGGGGAAGACAACUGAUGCACGGCAAGAGAGACAUCAAAUUACCACUUAAGUGUUGCCCAUGCAGACACAUCAGAAGGUACUGUUGAACCACAGUCAGUUCUCAAUGUCUUGUUCUCCUGAACUUUCAGAGCUAUAACAAUUUACAUUAUAUCUAAAUUAAUCUCUAGUGCUCAGACAUGUUUUUAAGAUGCUGCGGUAAUUUCCAUUAUUUUGUAUUCAUUCUAAAGCUCUGUGCACACAGACGGGAGGAAAACAACCUACAUUUCACAAAACAAGUCAGCCGUGCUGCUGUGUGAAUGAUCUGUGCAGAUCAUGCCAAAUAAAAGUACUUAAACCUAGAGCGAGUUGGGUGAGCCUGUCCCCAGCGACCUGUGCCCAGACUGGGUGGGACCCAGAGCACAUCCUCUCCACUUCAAGCCUCUGAAGUCAGUACAAGUCAAGUUAUAGAUUGCGCAUUUGCAAGAGGCUGAAGCGACGCUUUACAGCCGCGGAGGGGACAAUGCUCUCGUUCUGAAGGUGAGAACAGCUCUCCAACUCGUUAUGCAAAUGCCAGACUUGAAAAACAAUCCAGAGGCUUGGGCUUUGUUGCGCGUGUUUCCAGUGCCACCUGCUGUACAGAAGAGGAAGAUUCAGAAGCUCCAAGGAACGAAGCCGGAAAAUUCUUCCCCGCCCACCUGGGAACGCAGCAACUACCGAAAUUAAACACUGAGACAUUUACAUCUUCAGUAGUUCAACAGCACACUGAGUUGUGUGUUAAAGACACCCACAUAUGCCAAACACUUCUAAUUUUACAAAGAAAGUACAUCAGCUUCACUUCGAGUUUUCCAUAAAUUCAUACAGCUUGUGGGAUGACAUUUAAUGGAUGAGAAAAACAUGCAUUGUUACCAAA